UUUCAUGAUCCUGGUCUAGCUGGCUCCAUGGUGCCCUUUUGAUGGAUUCUCUCCGUUCUGUUAAUCUC
Molecule: long non-coding RNA, 68 nt
Organism: Nothoprocta perdicaria
Lineage: Eukaryota; Metazoa; Chordata; Aves; Tinamiformes; Tinamidae
Exons: 2
Source: RefSeq, a predicted model, not a curated record